Molecule: transfer RNA, 71 nt
Filed under: Marmota monax (woodchuck)
Lineage: Eukaryota; Metazoa; Chordata; Mammalia; Rodentia; Sciuridae
Description: tRNA.Ala
Rfam family: tRNA
About the family: Transfer RNA (tRNA) molecules are approximately 80 nucleotides in length. Their secondary structure includes four short double-helical elements and three loops (D, anti-codon, and T loops).
Source: RNAcentral
GGGGUUGUGGCUCAGCGGUAGAGUACUUGCCUUGCAUGCACGAGACCCUGGGUUCAAUCCUCAGCACCACA